Molecule: ribosomal RNA, 492 nt
Filed under: uncultured bacterium
Lineage: Bacteria
Description: partial 16S ribosomal RNA
Rfam family: Bacterial small subunit ribosomal RNA
Source: RNAcentral
AGUGAACGCUGGCGGUAGGCCUAACACAUGCAAGUCGAACGGCCGCACAGUAAGAUCUCGCUCUUACUGUUGGCGACUGGCGGGCGGGUGAGGCAUACAUCGCAUUCUACUUUUUCGGGGGUGAUUACGUAGGGCCACUUACGCUACUAGCUCAUAUUACCUACGGGUGAGAUCAGGAGAUCUUCGCACCUUUCCCGACUCUAUGAGCCGAUGUCGGAUUAGCUAGUUGGGGGGGUAACGGCCCACCAAGGCAACGAUACGUAGCAGAUCUGAGAGGAUGAUCAGCCACACUGGAACUGAGACACGGUCCAGACUCCUACGGGAGGCAGCAGUAGGGAAUAUUCGGCAAUGGGCGCAAGCCUGAUGCAGCCAUACCGCGUGAGUGAUGAAGGCCUUCGGAUUGUAAAGCUCUGUUGUUAGGGAAGAAAAGAAGUGGGAUAAUACCCGGAUGUUCUGACGGUACCUAAAGAAUAAGCAACGGCUAACUUCGUG